CUAGGUGGCUAUAGCGAAGGGGCUACACCCGUUCCCAUUCCGAACACGGCAGUUAAGUCCUUCUGCGCCGAUGAUACUAUGCGGGAAGCUGCAUGGGAAAGUAGGUCGUCGCCUGGU
RNAcentral lists this ribosomal RNA (117 nucleotides) under SAR324 cluster bacterium. Lineage: Bacteria; Deltaproteobacteria. The record is from RNAcentral.